GCCUUCUUGGUGUAAUGGUCAGCACACUGAGCCGGUAUUUCAGAGGUCCGCGGUUCGAUUCCCGGCGAAGGCG
This 73-nucleotide transfer RNA is filed under the name Stegodyphus mimosarum. It matches the Rfam family "tRNA". From Rfam's summary of the family: Transfer RNA (tRNA) molecules are approximately 80 nucleotides in length. Lineage: Eukaryota; Metazoa; Arthropoda; Arachnida; Araneae; Eresidae. The record is from Rfam by way of RNAcentral.